UCUGUGCUGUACACACGCUCCACAAACAUGUCACACACGUGCUCCCAUAUGUUACCUACACCAGCAGCACGGAUGUGCCACAUGCACAAUGUCAUUGCAAGUGUAUGACACACACACGAGUGGCACACGCACACCUAUCACACACAUGGCUUAUAAGCGAACGUAUGUGUGCUGCUCACCCGGGCACAGACACUUCAUAGAUACAUAAAUAUAUAAAAAUGACACUGUCCAUGCACACAGACAUAUUUACAAUAGGGAGGUGCCCUGCAUUUCCCUGUCCCAGCCUGGCCACGAAAGAGCUGGGGGGACCUGCUGGAGUUGGGAUCUUCACCAUAGCCCCAAACUCAUGGGUGGAGCCCUGAAGCGCAUCUCACCCAUGGGAGACGGAUCCCCCGGAGGAUGUCUCCCAGAGCCCGGGCUGGGUGACAUCGGGGCUGACCCCUGCUCCUGCUGCAGUGGCUCGCAGUGAGGACAGGCUGGGCACGGCGAUCACAGCACGGCGGGGCAGGAAGGGGCUUUGGGCCCGAGGUAUGUUAGCGAUUAACGGCGCUUUGCAGCGAUUCAUCUUGCAGCGGAGGGUGGAAACGUUGGAGGGUUGUUUGCAGGCGCUUGUAUUAAUCAUCCGGGCUAACACACCAUUAACGUCCUCCUGCAUUUUAAAGAUGACAAAUUUUAUUUGACUUCUCUCAAUCACGGUUCCCGGGCGGAUUCGGGAGCCACUUAAAUGGCUCGGAUUUUCCAUCGUUAGUUGUUACAAGGCGAGUCGCAAAGGCAGGAGGCUGGGGGGGCCGGGGCAGGGCUCGGGUUCUGUGCCGGAUCUGCCCAGCUUUGUUCCCCCCUGCUUUGUUCUCAGCUGCUGCAAAGACCCCGCUCCCCCACCCCCUUUAAACAAGCGCCCUGCAAACAUUUGCUAGUGAUUACUCUCCUGUUAGAGCCAGGCCUUGGGUACGUAGGGCGUCGUGCCCCCGAUUUCCUUCAAAGCAGCCGUGGUUGGGUGGGAUCCCCGAGCCCGGCUCGGAGCUGAUGGGAGCCAGUGCCCACCUGGGAGAACUUCAGGGGUCCCACUUCAUGUUUUACCCCCUCAUGCUGACAGAGCAUCACCCUGCUCCUCUCACAAACCAUCCAGGCUCCUCGCUGAGCUUCUCCCCAGUCCUGCAAACUGCCAGGUUAGAGCCUGUGCCACCCAACCCCAGCUCUGGAAACACCUCCCAAAAAUACCCCUUCCAUCCCCAUAGCCCUGCAUUGCACAGGCCACUUACAGCCACAUCCAGCUGGGAGCUGUCACCUUGAGCCUGCACCAGAGUCACCUCCAGCCUCCAGCUGCCAAACCAGGGAUGUUCCACUUCCCAUUGUCCAUGGAGUGGGGCUGGACAUGGCUCACCUCAACAGAACCAGCUGUGGAAUCACUGCCAGCUGUUGGGACAGCUCCAUCCCAGCUGCUCCAUCCCACUUCCUCCAGGUCCCAGGGGAUACCUUGUUUUUCUAACCCCAAAAUGGCCCUGGGCAACCAUGUCACUCCACAGACAGGAUCCAGCCAUGCCAGCUGAGGAAUCCCAAGAAAACCAUUAGAAAGUCUCCUGUUUCUCCACCCAGCACACCACCCUUGUGAGAAGUCGCUUUAACUGCACGCAUGGAAAACACAUCCCAUGAGCAGAUCCUCUUCUCACGGGUCUGCUGUCGUUGCCUUUUAGCACAGGGGAGAUUUAUUCACUUCACGGGUGUUUUUAAAAGGCAUUUUUUUAUAGCUGGGCUUCUCCUACUUAGGGGAGAUUAGGAGAUCGUAUUUCAUGACUUCUUGUGGAUCCCCUUUUGCAGGCUUUAAUGAACUAUGGAUGAGUGACCAUGGUAAUCCAGUCUGUGCAGGACCUCAUUAAAGUCACCAAGGCUGUUAUAAUAACUGGCUACAUCUGAUCACAUUACUCCUCUAAAUGGCUGAUUCCACUGGUAUAUGAGAGCCUGCCCUUACCCAGCACAGGCAGCAGGAGCUUUGCUCUGGGCUCUCACCUCCUGUGCUGCUAACGAGGCACAAUUUGAUUAACUCACAGUGCAGAAAGGCCACGGGAUUUCCCUUCACUGUUUUGCUCAGCCAACCCCAGCCAGAGCAGGCAGUGCCCCGUCCUGAUGGAAGCAGGUGGAUGGUACAAAGAAAGGAUCCCAACAUUUCCCAGUUACAAACUGAAUUUUGGGAGAGGGCUGGCCACAUGCAGCCUGUGACUGUGUGAUGGCACUGGGGGAAGCAGCACUUUCAGCUCCAUACCUUGUGAAAAGCAGCCUGGAGCAGCUCCUGUCUGUCCUGACUGGCAACCCCAAGCCCAUGGCCUCCCCACAGUGGCAGGGCCACCCCAGAGUCCUAGUAAGAUGGAGCCCAGCACCCCAGUAAAACAGGCUGCAGCCCCUCUGGCAGUGGGGUUUGCCCUCCUGCCCCACACUGGGGUGGUGGUCCUGACCCCAGCCUGCAUCCUUUCCUCACUGAAAGCAGACACAGGCAGCCCAGCAAAUAUCCAGAGAGGUGGGGUGGGAGGAAAGAAAAAAAAAAAAAAAAAAAAAAAAAGCCAGAUACAUCUGCAAAAAAACCAGGCAGAAAUGUUUCUUUGUCUUGGAAAGUGUCAGUGAAAGAAAUUCCCUUUGAGGGUAGGUUUUUGUUUGCAAGACUUCAAACCCCUCAUCUGGACAAUAACAGCUUCUGUCUCAGGGAAUUGGGGCUGCGAGGUACCGGCCAAGCCUGAGGUAUUAGAGGCUGGGACAGUAAUUAGGGCUCUGGUGCUGAUAAGGGCGCAGAGCUCAGGCACCUUGGGCUCUGCUCAUGCCAGAGCAGUGAGUGUGCAUCACAUCCCGGGUGUGCAGAGGCUCUGGGGGAUGUAAACACCCACGGCCAGGGCUCUCCAUCCAUCCAUCCAUCCAUGCCUGCCACAGCUCAGUACCCGCACUCCCUGCUCAGCAAACACGUCCCCACCAGCAGCAUAACACCAAACCUGAUUUAGUAUAGGGGAAAAAAAAGUGAUUUUUUUUCUUGUCUCAGCCACCCAUGCUGUGCCAAACUCCUGCACUACCUCUCAGCUGCCACAGGGUACCAACUCCUGCCAGUGCCUGGGUGAAGCACAGGCACGCUCAGGACUGAAAAACGUGGGUUUUACACUGCUGAAAACCAAGGAUCUGCCUUCUCAGCCCACUGGUAGGCUGGCAGGGGCUGGGCCCAGAGCUGUGCAGCCCCAUGCUGCAGAAGAGGAGGCUGAUGCACAGGACUGCAGGCAGAGGAAGGCCGCCAGGGACUUCUGAUCAUCUCAUUAACCACGAGAACGGCAGAAAAUAAUUGCUCGUGGUUCAAUGCAGUCCAUCUGUGUGGGAUUUUCUCAGUAAUAAGUGCAUACGGCCUGGUUUUAAUGUUUUUCAACGUUUUUUAAACUGAAACAUUUCCUAGUGCUGAAGCCCGGGCAAAAAUCAGUUCCAGCCCUGGGGGCAGUGAGGGGAUUUAGAGGCACAAGUCUCAGGUUGACUUUUUAACAGGGUUCGUACAAACUAUCCUGCCCAUAAUGCUCGUGUAAUUGAUGCUUUUGAAUACUCCAAGGAGGCCAAGGUCCUCUGAGGCUUUGAAAGUAUGUUUUACAGUACUUUCUGAUGUGAUAUAUAAAAAACUCCCUGAUCAUGAGUCAGGCAAGCAAAGCUCUUGAGACUGACUUAAAAUUAUUUACAUGCACACACACCCCUUUUUAAGUGAUCACACUUAAAUAUUUUCAAAUUUUUCUUUUUUUAAAUUUUUUAUUUCUUUUUUUAUUAAAGAAAAACUGAUUUUUCAUGCAGAAAACAGAACUUCAGGACUCUGGCAGUUUUGGUGUAAAAGCUGCCCCUCAGCCAGCUGCAGGGAUGCAGGGAGGGCUGGAUCAGACUGGGCUGUGCCUUCCUGCAGAAGGGUUCAUACCUGGAGCUGAUUUAUCUUAUUUCCCUGCAAGAUGCAGUUUGGGGCUUAACUCUGGCCAAGCAAAAGUGACUGUGAGGAACUUUGCUCAUUGGGAUGGAUGAAGCAAUGG
This is a long non-coding RNA of Oenanthe melanoleuca, 4025 nucleotides long. RefSeq lists it as uncharacterized. NCBI's taxonomy places the organism in Eukaryota, Metazoa, Chordata, Aves, Passeriformes, Muscicapidae. The transcript is spliced from 3 exons. The record is from RefSeq and is a predicted model, not a curated record.